GAUGAACGCUAGCGGCAGGCCUAAUACAUGCAAGUCGAACGGAUCUGGGGACUUCGGUUCCCAGGUUAGUGGCGCACGGGUGCGUAACGCGUAUGCAACCUACCUUUUAUUGGGGGAUAGCCCGUCGAAAGACGGAUUAAUACCGCAUAAGAUCACUUGAGGGCAUCUGAGGGUGAUUAAAGCUACGGCGAUAGAAGAUGGGCAUGCGUGACAUUAGCUAGUUGGUUGAGGUAACGGCUCACCAAGGCGACGAUGUCUAGGGGUUCUGAGAGGAUGAUCCCCCACACUGGUACUGAGAUACGGACCAGACUCCUACGGGAGGCAGCAGUAGGGAAUAUUGGGCAAUGGACGCAAGUCUGACCCAGCCAUGCCGCGUGCAGGAUGAAGGCCUUCUGGGUUGUAAACUGCUUUUAUCUAGGGAGAAAACACCCCUGCGGGGGAACUGACGGUACUAGAGGAAUAAGCACCGGCUAACUCCGUGCCAGCAGCCGCGGUAAUAC
RNAcentral lists this ribosomal RNA (500 nucleotides) under uncultured bacterium. Its description in RNAcentral is "bacterial SSU rRNA". It matches the Rfam family "Bacterial small subunit ribosomal RNA", at positions 28 to 526 of the family's 1533-position model. The record is from RNAcentral.